RNAcentral lists this transfer RNA (74 nucleotides) under Phycisphaerae bacterium. RNAcentral's name for it is "tRNA-Arg". It matches the Rfam family "tRNA". Rfam says of the family: Transfer RNA (tRNA) molecules are approximately 80 nucleotides in length. RNAcentral also lists the same sequence under 1 other name. The record is from RNAcentral. Lineage: Bacteria; Pseudomonadati; Planctomycetota; Phycisphaerae.
GGGCAUGUAGCUCAAUUGGAUAGAGCACCGGUCUACGAAACCGGCGGUUGAAGGUUCGAGUCCUUCCAUGCCCG